GACGAACGCUGGCGGCGUGCCUAAUACAUGCAAGUAGAACGCUGAAGAGAGGAGCUUCCUCUUCUUGGAUGAGUUGCGAACGGGUGAGUAACGCGUAGGUAACCUGCCUUGUAGCGGGGGAUAACUAUUGGAAACGAUAGCUAAUACCGCAUAACAAUGGAUGACACAUGUCAUUUAUUUGAAAGGGGCAAUUGCUCCACUACAAGAUGGACCUGCGUUGUAUUAGCUAGUAGGUGAGGUAAUGGCUCACCUAGGCGACGAUACAUAGCCGACCUGAGAGGGUGAGCGGCCACACUGGGACGGAGACACGGCCCAGACUCCUACGGGAGGCAGCAGUAGGGAAUCUUCGGCAAUGGGGGCAACCCUGACCGAGCAACGCCGCGUGAGUGAAGAAGGUUUUCGGAUCGUAAAGCUCUGUUGUAAGUCAAGAACGGGUGUGAGAGUGGAAAGUUCACACUGUGACGGUAGCUUACCAGAAAGGGACGGCUAACUACGUG
RNAcentral lists this ribosomal RNA (497 nucleotides) under uncultured bacterium. RNAcentral describes it as "partial 16S ribosomal RNA". It matches the Rfam family "Bacterial small subunit ribosomal RNA", at positions 28 to 507 of the family's 1533-position model. The record is from RNAcentral.